AAUUACCAUGCAGCAUCAAUACCAGCAUUGUUUUUGUUUUAACCUUAACGAUGGCAAGGUAUCUUUAAGUAGGAGAGUCCAACAGAUGCAAGUAUCGAGAUCUAUUGUACAUAUUUUAACCAAACCACCCGUCUCCGUUCACAACGCAUGUCCACCUUCUAGAUGAGCAACCUCAAGUAUCCAACAGAAAGGAAAGUGCCAUAAAUGAACAGCUUUCCUUGAACCUAAUUAUCUGCAACAUCUAACAUUAAUGGGUUCUUUAACCUGCUCGAGAACAUAUUCUUAGAAAUUACAUAGAAAAGCAAAAUGAAAAGAGUCAUCAAGGGCAGACAUCAUGAAAUCAUGUAGCAACCAAAACUACAGAUCAUUGCCUGAAGCCUUCUCUAUUUCAUCUUCAUUUCCAACAGAUAAUCCAGAUGAAGGAUUAAACUGCUCUCUUGCCACAAAUACAGAAUGUGGCUGUGGGAAGCAGUUUAAGCUCGACUCCAGUAUCUGGUGAGUCAGGACCAUAUCUGGUUUUGAAUAUGCUGUGCUCAUGGAUAGCCGUUGCUUCUUCAUAGACCUCUCACCUUUAGGGCUCUCGGCUGGGGAACCAACAUUACAACGUGAAUCUGGAGUCAAUGGCUCAUGGUGAGAUGAGAAUGAUUCAUCAAUAGAAAGGCUUUUGGCUGGGGCACGCUCCUUGGCAGCCUUGUCUUGAACAGGGGACUCAGAAGUUGGAGCAGGGGUCGCUGGGUCAGUCUUGUGGUCAGAUUCUGGACAACUAUCACCUGAUACCGGGGCAGAGGCCCCUGCAGCAGGCACCUCUCCAAGGACUCCACUGAGUCGUUGUUGCUCUUCAAUUAUCUUCUUCAAGUACUUCCCUUGCGCUUCAAUACGUAACUGUAGCUGUCUCUGCACCUCCAAUUGCUCAUGCAGUCGCUUUUGCACUUCCAUCUGCAGCUUCAGUGCUUCUGUAAUUUGCAUUCCAGAUGAACCAUCCAAAUUGGAAAGCAUACCUCCAGUUUCUUUCUUGUCAGAUUUUUUCCCUUCCAUUAUCAUCGAAUUAGCAUAACAAAACAGAAUUUGCACAGUAAGGAUACUAAAAAACAUGUAAUAGCAUACGUGUAUGGUCACAUAUAAACAACAGAGGACAUGAGAUGAACUUACCAUCAGAUGAAGAGUCAGGGAGGUAUUUUGCAAGUCGAUAUUUCUGUAAAUGGCUUUUCACAUGAUAGAUGGUCAAACCUUCAACAUUCAUCAGCUUUAGAACCCCCUUUGGAGUGGCCUUUUCAGCUCCACCAAGUUUGUUGACGGCCUCUACAAAACAUUCAUGAAGCUCAGGCGUCCAUCUCAUUCUUGGCUUGUGCAUUGUGGCUGGCCCAGGUGAGGGGUGACUUGAAUGAGCAUCAACAGAUGGGACCAUAGAGGCAAAAUUCUGAUUGCAUGUCAAUCCCAUAGCUGUGUUUGAUUCAGAUGUUUCGUAUAUUUCAUCAACCCUGGGAUUUUCUCCAUGGUCUGUAAUGGCUAUGUCAAGUUCAUUAGACAAAAACUGUAGCUCCAAUUGCUCUGUAAAUGCUAAAUUGUCACUAACACAAGUUAUACCAUGAAAACUACCCUCCGAAGCAUCUCCUGGCAAAUUAAGGAAGUCUUUCACAAAAGCAUCUGAAUGCUCUUCCUCGACAUGUGGAUCGGUUAUAUUCCCAUUGAAAAGCAGGGUAGAUUUUGUUGAAUCAACAGCAGAAACAGACUGGCUGUAUGUGGGAGGAUGUGGAAGAAAUGGCAAAUUUCCAAGCUGCCGAUUAGUUUCAGAGCUUGAUGAUGAUGACAGGUAUAAACUGGUGCAGAACACUGAACAUCGUUGAAAUGUACUCCUAGAAUGAUGAACAUGAGAAACAGGAGACAGAGGGCUAUCUGGUCCAGAUUUUAAACAAUACUUUGGAGGUUGGACUGUAGAUGCUUGCAUAAUUUUUGGAGAGCCCUGAGACUCUGUUGGUAUGAAAGGGGACGGACGUGAAGAACAUUCAGUUGUCAUAGAACUUUGACCUUCAGACUCAACGCUAAAAAAGCCAUGAAUUGGGGAUAUGGUAGUGAAAUAUGGCUGUGUGAUUCCUUUAGACUCGCUUUUUGCUACAGAUAUAACACCAUUGCGAUUCAUAGCGGCAACCCGACCUUUAUCCACCUGCCAACUAAACAUAUGCUAUAUGCCAACUUGGUAACAUAUGCUUCUGUCGCGUUUGAGUAGAAAAUGUGAUAUAGAGUAACAAUGAAGAAACAACAUAUGGUCAAUUUAAAGUUUCUUUUGAGUUCCAAAUCACACUGCUCCAGUUUUUAUACAGGCACCAUUUUUUUUCCUUUUUCUCUCCUAUUCAGCAGCCAGCACCCAGGCGUUACAUUUAUGUAUUGGAAGCUAAAGGAACUCCAUCCAGUCUAUAACAAGGUUAGCAGCAAACGGUCUUCUGCAGAAAGAAACCUGAGAUUAGUAGAUCCUGCUCUUUUGCUUCCAAUUGUGGCUCUUGUUAUCAAAGAAGUGAGAGGAAAAUAAUUAGGAAGAAAGACGGAAAGCAAUAAUCUUUUUUUGAUUUUGGCAGCGACAAAACAAUGAUAAGACUUAAGAGUGGCAGUUGCUUCGAAUCUAACGUUGUUUAUUUGUAAUAAAAUGGAAUCCAAAAUUUCUUUCUUUUUUUUUAUAAAUAAAUAAUUCGGCCAAAGAAUUUGGUAAUUGUAUUCCUAGAGUAAAGCUAGAAGGGAAGCAGCUGGCAUUGGC
This 2746-nucleotide unclassified non-coding RNA is filed under the name Hevea brasiliensis (rubber tree). The record is from RNAcentral. Lineage: Eukaryota; Viridiplantae; Streptophyta; Magnoliopsida; Malpighiales; Euphorbiaceae.